Molecule: ribosomal RNA, 1019 nt
Filed under: uncultured bacterium
Lineage: Bacteria
Description: bacterial SSU rRNA
Rfam family: Bacterial small subunit ribosomal RNA
Source: RNAcentral
UGAGGAAUAUUGGUCAAUGGGCGAGAGCCUGAACCAGCCAAGUAGCGUGCAGGAUGACGGCCCUAUGGGUUGUAAACUGCUUUUAUAAGGGAAUAAAGUGAGUCUCGUGAGACUUUUUGCAUGUACCUUAUGAAUAAGGACCGGCUAAUUCCGUGCCAGCAGCCGCGGUAAUACGGAAGGUCCGGGCGUUAUCCGGAUUUAUUGGGUUUAAAGGGAGCGUAGGCCGGAGAUUAAGCGUGUUGUGAAAUGUAGACGCUCAACGUCUGCACUGCAGCGCGAACUGGUUUCCUUGAGUACGCACAAAGUGGGCGGAAUUCGUGGUGUAGCGGUGAAAUGCUUAGAUAUCACGAAGAACUCCGAUUGCGAAGGCAGCUCACUGGAGCGCAACUGACGCUGAAGCUCGAAAGUGCGGGUAUCGAACAGGAUUAGAUACCCUGGUAGUCCGCACGGUAAACGAUGGAUGCCCGCUGUUGGUCUGAACAGGUCAGCGGCCAAGCGAAAGCAUUAAGCAUCCCACCUGGGGAGUACGCCGGCAACGGUGAAACUCAAAGGAAUUGACGGGGGCCCGCACAAGCGGAGGAACAUGUGGUUUAAUUCGAUGAUACGCGAGGAACCUUACCCGGGCUUGAAUUGCAGAGGAAGGAUUUGGAGACAAUGACGCCCUUCGGGGUCUCUGUGAAGGUGCUGCAUGGUUGUCGUCAGCUCGUGCCGUGAGGUGUCGGCUUAAGUGCCAUAACGAGCGCAACCCCUCUCCUUAGUUGCCAUCAGGUCAAGCUGGGCACUCUGGGGACACUGCCACCGUAAGGUGUGAGGAAGGUGGGGAUGACGUCAAAUCAGCACGGCCCUUACGUCCGGGGCUACACACGUGUUACAAUGGCAGGUACAGAGAGACGGUCCCUUGCAAAAUGGAUCAAAUCCUUAAAGCCUGUCUCAGUUCGGACUGGGGUCUGCAACCCGACCCCACGAAGCUGGAUUCGCUAGUAAUCGCGCAUCAGCCAUGGCGCGGUGAAUACGUUCCC